CACCCACCCCUCUCCGCCUCCAGGAAGCCACACAGCUUCCGGGCUAAUUUGAUCAAGAUGCGUUAAAAGCAAAACCAUCUGGUUUCCUUCCACAGCUGAUUCCAGAAUCACUAUUGUAAAAGACCUGUCUUCCAGGGCUUCUUCAUUCUGUUUUCACUACAACGUGACUUCUGUUCAUGUCUCUGCAGAAGGCCCAUGAGGGCCUUUCAUAUUGGUAGGAGCUUCCGUCCUGAAUUUCCUCACCUCUCAGCUCUACUCCUGGAGCUGAAAACCAGACUCUGGGACCUCCCUGAUCCGCAAUCUCAGCUGGGGACAGUCUGCUAGGCCUACCUUGGAUCAGGGACCCACCUGCGGCCGGCUGACCAUGACUGUGGAGCAGGGCUCAGGGUACCCCGGGCUGUCUGGCUGUGCAGACCAGAGUGUCAGUCUUUGGACUCUGAAUCCUGGACUCUGAAAAACGUUUUCUAUAGAGUCCCGGAAAAUGGUGAAGUGGCCACAGAGCAUGGACUUGCACCCCUGAUGACAGCUCGGAAAAAGCUCUUUUCUUCAUUCACUGAGCCGCUUGAAUCCACUGGGAUAUUAAAAUUUCCAACUGAAAAUAUUGCUAAGGGCGUCUUCUUGGGGUCCUGGUGAGCAGGGGACAGGUCAG
This is a long non-coding RNA of Talpa occidentalis (Iberian mole), 649 nucleotides long. RefSeq lists it as uncharacterized. The transcript is spliced from 3 exons. The record is from RefSeq and is a predicted model, not a curated record. Lineage: Eukaryota; Metazoa; Chordata; Mammalia; Eulipotyphla; Talpidae.